CAGCUAACAACUGUCGGGACACCGCUUGUAAAUCGCGCCUUCUUUUAUGCCAUUGCACCUUUGUUUUGCUUGACGUUGAGGUCGGCAGUGAAGUGUGUGGUGCUUCGUUGCGCUGCAAAGGACUCUAAUGACUCAGAGUGACUUCCUGCCACGCACCACGUCUACUUGGCAUAUCCCGCUUUCUCUUCAUUCUCGCACAGGCGAGAUACGUUAUCACAGAAGAAAAGGGAUUCGACCAGUCGCUACAGGUGUCUCUUUCCACCUCCGGCACAGGGCUUCGGCGACGUCUGUUGCUACCGAUCAACCGCCUCGAACAAACUUUACACACAGCUGGCUCAGUUCUUCCGAGGUCCUUCUUAGACGCCUAGGCGGAUCAGAUGGGAUCGCAGAGCGGGAAAGCGUCUUUAUCGACGUCCAAUCGGCGCCGCGCGGUGUGUGAUUUGUGUGGCACGAAAGCGACCCGCAAGUCGUCACUGCAAACGGGCAGCACCCUCGUCCUCAAGCAAUGUAGCCGCUGCCAUCUUCGCUGCUGCGGCGAGUGCUACGUGUGGCGCCGCUACGGGUCUAGUUUUUCGACCUGCUAUGACGAGGAGCACGCUGUUGCCGAGUUUGCGCCAGUGUGUCGACGAUGCGUAGCAGGGCCGAAUCUGGUCGCCAACGCACCGCGGUUUGUUUGGAAUAAGAUUUUUGAAUACUGUGACGCGACGGCAAAGCAUCAUCUGCUGCAGCUAUGCCACGCCACGCAGAUGGGCGUUGUGCUGCCGUACCCUCACACGCGGUACGGGUGGAGUACUUUUUUCGAAGGUAGGCAUUUCAUCUCCAAAGGUGCCAACGGUGAGGUUUAUCACACGGUGGUGCGUCGCGACAUUACGAAGGAGCUCGCGCGGUCUCUAAUUGAUGCGCUGGAUGCAAAGGUGCUAGCCGAUCUUUCUGGUCGCGCGGUGGCGGUGAAGGCGAUCCGAAAGUCGACUGUUUUCUCCUUGAGGAGGUGGAAGCACAUUCAACGGGAGGUGGACACGCUACGUAGAUGCUGCCAUCGUCACGUCGUUCAGCUGCACUUCGUCGCGCAGGGCCCCAGUGAGGUCUACAUUGUGCUUCAGUACGUGGCGGGCGGAGACUUGUUUGACUGGCUAGUUCGCCAACAGAUUCCAAUGGAGUAUGAUGUGGUCGUCAUCGCGCGCCAGCUUCUCGAAACGCUUCACUUUAUGCACGAGGUGUGCGGCGUUGUGCAUCGCGAUAUCAAGCCGGAGAACAUUCUGCUGCAACCCGUUGCAAAUCCAGAUGUACAGAGGCAGGGGGAUGGAUCUCUCGGUGCAGACGACGGGCGCUCCACGGAGCACACCAACUCGUCUGAUGAUUUGUACAUACGCCUUGCUGACUUCGGGUACGCGAAGCUGCUUCCGCAAAACGAGGCUGGAGAUGCGACCUUGUCGCCAGCACAGAUCUCGCGCCCCCCUUUGCCGCCUGUACCCGCGGAUGCCAUUGGUAUUGUAGGACCUAGGGCGGAAAACGUGCAGCGCACCGAGCCUCGUGCGAAGGCUUGCAAGCCGCUCCUCAUUUCGUCCACUCCGUGUGGAACGCUCGGCUUCGCUGCCCCUGAGAUUCUCUCCGCCUACAACGCGCGGAAAGACGCUUUGCAGCGCCCUCGUUCAAACCGGCAAUCCGCCGAGCAGCUCGGAGACGCAGCCAAGCCGCGAACGCCGGUAGAUUUAGUGAAGCGUAUGGACAUCUUUGCGGCUGGUGUGACUAUAUGCAUCCUCCUGACGGGGUGCGAGCCGUUUCCGUGUCGGUCGUCGAAGGAGCAUAUUGAGGCUGUGCACGAAGGUCUGGACUUUAGCGGACCUCAGUGGAACUACGUUUCGCAGCCGGCCAAGAACUUACUACGUCGCAUGCUUGCGCCAAGGGCAGCGGAUCGUCCCUCAGCCUUUGAGUGUCUCAACUCAUCAUGGAUGAAGCACCAGGGCCCAUACACUGACGCCACCUCAGAGGUGGAGGACGACGACGAGAAUGCGCGUGGGAAGGGCCUCAAUCGCAGCGCGUCUGUGUGGCAGCUACUCUCCACCUCGUUCCAGAACUCUGUCCACUCGCUGCGCAAGAAUGAGGGGUGGCUAUUUGUGCAGGAUGCACAGGGACUCGUGACGACGAUUCCACGUCAGCUUGUAAACGGUAGAGAAGAUAGUGAGUCCUUUUCCGAGGCGCUUCAUUCCCCCAACAGUUGCGAGCAGGCCUCCACUGUCUACUAGAGACUCUGAACGUUUCUCAUCUUGGUCAAGUGCAUUUCCAUGCCAUUGGCUUCUGUGUCGAAGUCUUUCUUCAUCCUGCGAAUCGUAGUGCACAUUUCCUCAUUCAUGCACGAAGGACCCCUUACAGACCGCACGAAUGCAAGGCCUUCCUCCUGCCUACAAGCUCUUCCCCUCCCCCCCAGAUACUGCUGUUAGCUUUUCUUUGCUUUCUUUCCCUCUCAAUACUUUCAAUUCUCGUCUGCUUUAUUUUCCCUUUUAUCGCCCAGCACCGAUGAAUUCGAAAGCGCACCGCCCUCUUGUGUAGUUUCUCCAUUCCUAUUUUGUAUGUUUCUUGGUUUCAUCGCCUUGCACGACGCCCAACUUUCGCUUUUCUCUUACCCCGCCUUUUCUUUUCGAUGAUACUAUGGUAUGUCCCCAUUCGCUUCUCCGAUCACGAUUUCCCCUGCUGUCUUGUACCAUUUAUGUUUUCCUCACUGCUGGUCUUACAUGUUUUUUUUUUUUUUCUUUGCGUCAGGGCCGCGACGGAUUGGUCUUUCACGGCUCUUUUCCCGCUUUCCGCUCUGUUCUGCAUUGUUCCGUGAUGAGUGAUCCAGUGAUUCUCUUCCCUAUCUUCGGAUCCUGCUUCUCUUGUUCGACUUAGACGGUGUUUUUGUAGUUUCUCCCUUCUCCCUUACUUCUUCGACGUUCUCGCAUUCUAAAAGCAAAGCAGAGGAGGAGAGAGCGCUUUAUAUGCGCUUCUGCUACGCCCAUAAUCUCGCUUUGUCUUUUCUUUGAUUGCCGCUGCGACGACCGGCGGGUUCCUGCUGAUCUCCCUAACACGUGCCUAUACCACGGCUCCAUCCCUUACAUUCUCUUGUUGCUUCCUCCUACUUGACCCUGAUGACGGGGAGGGGGCAUCUCAGUGCGUGGUAUCUCAGGGCCCAGUGCAUUCACAUUAUUCCACAGGGGGGGGGUGGCCGAGCAGCCCUCUCCCGCUAUCCCCUUUCCUGCCAGCUGCAGAGCCGCUUCUGCUGGUGACAGGGCCAUCCCCCCUACGUCGUAGGGGGGUCAGAGCGAUGCAUCGCUGUUGAUGUCGGCGGUCGAGGCCCUGGAUGGCGUUGCAUCGGAGCCACCUGCGACAGCGAACGCGUCUGUGCCAUCCGCCUAAUGGGCGAAGUGUCGGCGUGACUCGAGCGCAUAUCAGACGGUCCUCGCUGCCUACUGGUGUGGGGAGCGUGAGCCACCCCGAGGGUCGCACGAGGUGGUGACCGGCACCAUGGGCAUGGCUGUGAGGCGACCUGCGCGGAGGCUGGGGGGAGGGGAGGAGCUUGAGGCAGGGGCCGAGCUCAGAUGACUGGGUCGGCGCAUUGCUGUAGCGCGCGCCUGCGGCUUCUUCGCACCACGUGGGUGGGGCCUGCGACUGGCCGGUGUAGAGGGGGGCCGCACUCGUGUUGUACGGCAGGGAGUGAACACGUUGAUGCAAAAUGAAGUCGACCUUACUUGUAUAGGCGGUGUUGAAGGAAAAUGUUCGAAAAUUUCUUCUCUCUUUUCCCCCUUUCCGUGCACGCGCCACUUUUAAGUGUUUACUUGCUUUUUGAACCUGCAGUACAGAGUGGGACCAACAGGAGGGCCCAAUGGAUGUCGAGCGAGGAAUGACUCGUGCCUGU
This 3889-nucleotide unclassified non-coding RNA is filed under the name Leishmania donovani. RNAcentral's name for it is "gene:LdHU3.19.1840(CDS-product:protein_kinase_put ative)". The record is from RNAcentral. Lineage: Eukaryota; Euglenozoa; Kinetoplastea; Trypanosomatida; Trypanosomatidae.